GCAUCGAUGAAGAACGCAGCGAAAUGCGAUACGUAAUGUGAAUUGCAGAAUUCCGUGAAUCAUCGAAUCUUUGAACACAAAUUGUACUUUUCAGUAAUCUGGAAAGUAUGCUUGGUUGAGGGUCAUUAAAAUAACAUUCGUGAAUUUUUUCGCGGAUUUGAGUUUUCCAAUGUUCAUUAUAAAAUAGAUGUUGGUAACUUUAAAAUUAUUUAUAACUUGGUACAAGUUGAAAACGUGCUAUAUGUGUGGUUCGCUAACAACUUGUCCAUCUUAAUAUAUUAUGCGCGUGCUUGGCUUUUUAAGUUUUGUGCGAGUAUAUAUUUUGUUUAUGACCUCAGCUCAAGCAAGAAAACCCGGUGAACUUAAGCAUAUCAAUAAGCGGAGGA
RNAcentral lists this ribosomal RNA (386 nucleotides) under uncultured fungus. Its description in RNAcentral is "eukaryotic LSU rRNA". The stretch from base 1 to 125 matches the Rfam family "5.8S ribosomal RNA", at positions 30 to 154 of the family's 154-position model. Lineage: Eukaryota; Fungi. The record is from RNAcentral.